AUCCACCAAGGUAGUGAGUGAUCAGUGUGUGUGUGUGGGUCUCCGGGAGCUUAGCGCUGUGCUGAUGUUGACUGAUUGUAUACUUGCAGGAAAGUCUCUUUGCUCAGACGCCCUCACAUUGAUUAUCAGAGGAAUGUCCAUCGAUCAUCACAGCAACUCAGGCAAAACCAAGGCACACAGGCUCGAGCCCAGACUGGGAUUCCAGCAGCACAACGCCGUUGUCCACCAACACAAUACCAGAGGUCUGCAUCGAAUACCACCCUGGAUUCUAGUGGGUGCAACAGCUGCUUCCAGGUGGUGAAACCCUACCAGGCCGGACACUACAUCAUCCACCCGGAGUUUGUGUCUGAAUGCCUUCGUUAGACUAUUAGGGCAAUGACUUUCACCGUGGGAGGGACAGAAGUCCUUCCAGGGGUCCCCAGGUGGCAAAACUGGGGAUCAUUAACUUCACUAUUGUUUAAUUCUCUCCUAAUUAACCCAGUGAGACAUGGCGUAAGAAUGAUUAAUGCAACUGUUUGCUGCACUGUGUCACCACCAUUAUCGCUCCUCUUACAGCAUGGACACCUUUACACUUCAGGACUGAAUCAGCAGCAAAACUCUUUCCUUAAGGGUCCUGUGGUGGCUAAACGAUAUAUAGCUCAUUAGUCUUCAUCCAAGAGGCAUAAUCUGCCACAUGUGGAAUGGUUAAUGACAAUGGGAAUACAGUUCAUUUCAGCUUUUCCCCUGUGCUAAUAACAGCGUAUACUCCCUAUAGGGCUUGGACAGCAAAAAUGUAGAUGAGUAAUUUAGUCCAUCCCAGCCAGCUUGUGCAGGUGAUAACUCGAAAACAAAAAAUCCUAACAUCUUGAAGCUCAACAAAUUUAGAAGCACACAUACUGAGGAUGAACUGAUUGGGUUUGUGUUGAGCUUUGAUGCACCAGAUCAAUCCUAAAAGCAAUUUAGUGUUAGUUAAUGGAUGGAAUUAAGCUUGAAACAAUGGCAAGAAACAUGAUGCCCAGUAUUUGGGGAAUUUCAAGAUAAAUGGCUGUGG
Long non-coding RNA from Thalassophryne amazonica, 1030 nucleotides. RefSeq lists it as uncharacterized. The transcript has 3 exons. The record is from RefSeq and is a predicted model, not a curated record. Lineage: Eukaryota; Metazoa; Chordata; Actinopteri; Batrachoidiformes; Batrachoididae.